This 460-nucleotide ribosomal RNA is filed under the name uncultured bacterium. Its description in RNAcentral is "partial 16S ribosomal RNA". It matches the Rfam family "Bacterial small subunit ribosomal RNA", at positions 338 to 795 of the family's 1533-position model. The record is from RNAcentral.
CCUACGGGGGGCAGCAGUGAGGAAUAUUGGUCAAUGGGCGCGAGCCUGAACCAGCCAAGUAGCGUGAAGGAUGACUGCCCUACGGGUUGUAAACUUCUUUUAUAAAGGCAUAAAGUGAGGCACGUGUGCCUUUUUGUGUGUACUUUAUGAAUAAGGAUCGGAUAACUCCGUGCCAGCAGCCGCGGUAAUACGGAGGAUUCGAGCGUUAUCCGGAUUUAUUGGGUUUAAAGGGAGCGUAGACGGGUUGUUAAGUCAGGUGUGAAAGUUUGCGGCUCAACCGUAAAAUUGCAAUUGAAACGGGCAGGCUUGAGUACAGGUGAGGUAUGCGGAAUUCGUGGUGUAGCGGUGAAAUGCUUAGAUAUCACGAAGAACUCCGAUUGCGAAGGCAGCUUACUAAACUGCCACUGACAUUGAUGCUCGAAAGUGUGGGUAUCAAACAGGAUUAGAUACCCGUGUAGUC